Molecule: ribosomal RNA, 314 nt
Filed under: uncultured Parcubacteria group bacterium
Lineage: Bacteria
Description: bacterial SSU rRNA
Rfam family: Bacterial small subunit ribosomal RNA
Source: RNAcentral
GAUGAACGCUGGCGGCGUGGAUAAGGCAUGCAAGUCACGGGGGCUCUUCGGAGCAACCGGCAAACGGGUUAGUAAUGCAUAGGAAUCUACCGAGAAGUUUGGCAUAGCUUUCCGAAAGGAAAGGUAAUUCCAAAUGGUCUCCGACCUUGCGUCGGAGUAAAGACAAUAGCAAUAUUGUCGCUUCUUGAGGAGCCUGUGUCCUAUCAGCUUGUUGGCGGGGUAAUGGCCCACCAAGGCUAUGACGGGUAGGGGAUGUGAGAGCAUGAUCCCCAACAUUGGGACUGAGACACUGCCCAAACACCUACGGGAGGCAG